UUGGAGCUACAAUUUGCGGCAGGUCUUUCACCAUGUUUUUGUGCAUCUUCCUUGAUUUGUUGUGGUAGAUGGUUCAAUAAGCAAAAUGGACAGUCGAUUUUCACUCAUAAUUAACUUUAUCAUUUUUCCUUUUAAUGUUACCUACACCAUCUUUAAACAACACUGCUAUUUCUUUUUCUUGUAGUUGUCCAACGCUCAAGAGAUUAUUUUUGAGUUUAGGUACUCAAUACACAUUAUUAAUAGUGUAACGAACCUCAUUCAAAGUCAAUUUCGCUCCA
Molecule: long non-coding RNA, 278 nt
Organism: Cucurbita maxima (winter squash)
Lineage: Eukaryota; Viridiplantae; Streptophyta; Magnoliopsida; Cucurbitales; Cucurbitaceae
Exons: 2
Source: RefSeq, a predicted model, not a curated record